This 85-nucleotide transfer RNA is filed under the name Actinomycetes bacterium. RNAcentral's name for it is "tRNA-Leu". It matches the Rfam family "tRNA". Rfam says of the family: Transfer RNA (tRNA) molecules are approximately 80 nucleotides in length. RNAcentral also lists the same sequence under 2 other names. Lineage: Bacteria; Bacillati; Actinomycetota; Actinomycetes. The record is from RNAcentral.
GCGGGAGUGGCGGAAUUGGCAGACGCACCAGAUUUAGGUUCUGGCGCCUUCGGGUGUGGGGGUUCAAGUCCCCCCUCCCGCACCA